This 506-nucleotide ribosomal RNA is filed under the name uncultured bacterium. RNAcentral's name for it is "bacterial SSU rRNA". It matches the Rfam family "Bacterial small subunit ribosomal RNA", at positions 30 to 528 of the family's 1533-position model. The record is from RNAcentral.
AUUGAACGCUGGCGGCAUGCUUUACACAUGCAAGUCGAACGGCAGCGGGGGCUUCGGCCCGCCGGCGAGUGGCGAACGGGUGAGUAAUGCAUCGGAACGUGCCCAGUCGUGGGGGAUAACACAUCGAAAGAUGUGCUAAUACCGCAUACGUCCUGAGGGAGAAAGCGGGGGAUCUUCGGACCUCGCGCGAUUGGAGCGGCCGAUGUCGGAUUAGCUAGUUGGUGGGGUAAAAGCCCACCAAGGCGACGAUCCGUAGCGGGUCUGAGAGGAUGAUCCGCCACACUGGGACUGAGACACGGCCCAGACUCCUACGGGAGGCAGCAGUAGGGAAUUUUCGGCAAUGGGGGAAACCCUGACCGAGCAAUGCCGCGUGAACGAUGAAGGUCUUCGGAUUGUAAAGUUCUGUGAUUGGGGAAGAAUGGUAUUCUUAGGGAAUGAGGAGUACAUGACGGUACCCGAUUAGAAAGCCCCGGCUAACUAUGUGCCAGCAGCCGCGGUAAUUACGC